GCAGGUUGGACAGCAGCUCUGAGAAGCAGCA
This 31-nucleotide non-coding RNA is filed under the name Homo sapiens (human). The record is from RNAcentral. Lineage: Eukaryota; Metazoa; Chordata; Mammalia; Primates; Hominidae.